GUCUCACUGAGUUGUUCAGUGCUUCACCCUUGCUGAGACUGGCUUUGAACUUGGCGAUCCUCCUGCUUCGGCUUCCUGAGCUGCUGGGAUUACAGGCCUGCGCCACCAUGCCCAGCUCAAGUCUCUUCAACCUCUAGAGCCUACCUGUGCUACCUACCUAUCCUAAAACAGUGCAGCUAAAGGCGAUUUCCAGUAUUCUAGUAUAUCCUGCUGUUUUGUUUUUUUAUUUUUCAGCUUUCCCAGAUUAUCUGCAGGAUCUGAAAUUACUGAGCACCUCCUUUCUCUGGAUUGUCUUGCUUUGCCUGGUUUGGGUGAUUCUUUGUGAUCCUGGUUUCUCUGCCUCAUGGAUGGCUUUUCACCCUCUUUCAUUGACUCUUUUUGUCUUACAACCAUGGUACCCUCCAUAGAACCAUCUUAGCAUUUUUGUUUAUCCACCUCUGCAUUUGUUUCAGCAAUACUAUCUAUCUCCAAGACUUCAAUAAUCACAUUUGAGGAUCUCUUUUCCCAAAUCAUCUCCUCCUCCUCCUUCUUUUCUCUCUGCCCCCGCCCCCUGCAGUACUGGAGAUUGAAGCCAGGAGCACUCUACCACUGAGAUCUAUCCCCAGCCCUUUUUCUUUUAUUUUUCAGACAAGAUCUUGCUAAGUUGCCCAGACUGUGCUCAAAAUUGCAAUCCUCCUGCUUCAGCCUCUCCAGUUGUUGGAAAUACAAACUGUGCAUCAAGGUGCCUGGUAAACUCCUCCCAAAUUCUUUGUCCAAUCCCUGUCUUAUUUCCUAGCCCUCUUUUCCAUGAAACUUCCAUCUGAAAACUUCUGGCAUCUUCACUC
RNAcentral lists this long non-coding RNA (824 nucleotides) under Marmota monax (woodchuck). Lineage: Eukaryota; Metazoa; Chordata; Mammalia; Rodentia; Sciuridae. The record is from RNAcentral.